Molecule: ribosomal RNA, 479 nt
Filed under: Shinisaurus crocodilurus (Chinese crocodile lizard)
Lineage: Eukaryota; Metazoa; Chordata; Lepidosauria; Squamata; Shinisauridae
Description: partial 16S ribosomal RNA
Rfam family: Bacterial large subunit ribosomal RNA
Source: RNAcentral
AUAUUUUAAACGGCCGCGGUAUUCUAACCGUGCAAAGGUAGCGUAAUCACUUGUUUUCUAAAUAAAGACCAGUAUGAACGGCUUCAUGAGGAUUGACCUGUCUCUUUUAACUAAUCAGUGAAACUGAUCUACCAGUACAAAAGCUGGUAUAUAACCAUAAGACGAGAAGACCCUGUGGAGCUUAAAAUACGGACAUUAACCCGAAACCAAAAUAAUGUACUAUUUUUAGUUGGGGCGACUUCGGAUAGAAACAAAACAUCCGAGCCAAAGAGGCCUCCCUCUAACCAAGACCCACAUGUCAAAGAAAAAAUUUGAUCCAGUCCAAACUGAUUAACGAACUAAGUUACCCCAGGGAUAACAGCGCUAUCUUCUUCAAGAGUCCCCAUCGACAAGAAGGUUUACGACCUCGAUGUUGGAUCAGGACACCCAAAUGGUGCAGCCACUAUUAAAGGUUCGUUUGUUCAACGAUUAAUAGUCCU